Molecule: non-coding RNA, 853 nt
Organism: Taeniopygia guttata (zebra finch)
Lineage: Eukaryota; Metazoa; Chordata; Aves; Passeriformes; Estrildidae
Source: RefSeq, a predicted model, not a curated record
CCCUGCCCAUAGCAGGGGGUUGGAAUGAGAUGAUACCAACACAAACCAUCCCGAGAUUCUACGAAUUGAGCACCAACCAUCCCAAGCUCUGCAGGGAGAGCAGGAGGACCCACCCCACCAUCCUCCCCAAGUGUCUCUUCAUCCCUGCAGCCCUCACCAAGGGCAAACCCUGCCAGCAGCAUCCACCCUGCUCCGGGGGGAGGGCAAACAAAACAAUUAAACUGGACCUAAGGCAACUAAAUGAGCAGGAAAAGGUGAGGGAGAAGCAGGCUGGGGCUCGGAGGAGAUGGAGCAAGCGGCACUGCUCACCUCUGGAAGGUCCUGGCUUGCAGUGCCACCAGUCAGGCUCCGUCCACGCAGGUCCCCAACCAUUGUGACACAGACACCAACUGUCCUGCCACCAUUCCAUGGGGACAGUGUCCCACUCCUCCAAAGCAGGGAAGCACAGGAAGCAGGGAAGAAACCUGAGAAAUGAGGGUGCUGGCAUCAGUGGCUGCGAGCAAACAGCGAUGCAUCCCCUGCCCCAGCAGGCUGCUGGGGGGAUUAAUUAGUAUUUGUAAAGCACUUUGAAGAUAAAUUAGACUGUGGGAGAGCUCCUGGCUUGCAGAGAGGGGGAGAUGGGGCUCAGGGAGCCCAGAUGGCAGAACAGGGCCAGAUGGACAGGGUCCUAAUUCCCGUCAAGAAUCAUUACCUGCCGCAUGAUGAGGCACCUCCAAAGAUGUGCUGUGAGCCCUGGAAAACGUGGCAGCACCAGGAGGUCAGCACCCCACAGUGUCCCUGGACAACCCAUUCCAGUGCUGGAGCACCACUUCCCUGAAACAGCUUUUCUCACAUCUAAAGAGAAUUUCUUGCA